GACGAACCGUGCGAACGUUAUUCGGAAUCACUGGGCUUAAAGGGCGCGUAGGCGGGUUCUCAAGUCAGGGGUGAAAUCCCGCGGCUCAACCGUGGAAGUGCCUUUGAUACUGGGGACCUCGAGGGAGGUAGGGGCGUGCGGAACUUCCGGUGGAGCGGUGAAAUGCGCAGAGAUCGGGAAGAACAUCAGUGGCGAAGGCGGCCUGCUGGGCUGUUGCUGACGCUGAGGCGCGACAGCGUGGGGAGCAAACAGG
This 253-nucleotide ribosomal RNA is filed under the name uncultured bacterium. RNAcentral describes it as "partial 16S ribosomal RNA". It matches the Rfam family "Bacterial small subunit ribosomal RNA", at positions 524 to 776 of the family's 1533-position model. The record is from RNAcentral.